AGUGAACGCUGGCGGUAGGCCUAACACAUGCAAGUCGAACGGCAGCACAGUAAGAGCUUGCUCUUAUGGGUGGCGAGUGGCGGACGGGUGAGGAAUACAUCGGAAUCUACUUUUUCGUGGGGGAUAACGUAGGGAAACUUACGCUAAUACCGCAUACGACCUCCGGGUGAAAGCAGGGGAUCUUCGGACCUUGCGCGAUUGAAUGAGCCGAUGUCGGAUUAGCUAGUUGGCGGGGUAAAGGCCCACCAAGGCGACGAUCCGUAGCUGGUCUGAGAGGAUGAUCAGCCACACUGGAACUGGAACACGGUCCAGACUCCUACGGGAGGCAGCAGUGGGGAAUAUUGGGCAAUGGGCGCAAGCCUGAUCCAGCCAUACCGCGUGGGUGAAGAAGGCCUCCGGGUUGUAAAGCCCUUUUGUUGGGAAAGAAAAGCAGCAGGUUAAUACCCCGCUGUUCUGACGGUACCCAAAGAAUAAGCACCGGCUAACUUCGUG
This 492-nucleotide ribosomal RNA is filed under the name uncultured bacterium. RNAcentral describes it as "partial 16S ribosomal RNA". It matches the Rfam family "Bacterial small subunit ribosomal RNA", at positions 29 to 507 of the family's 1533-position model. The record is from RNAcentral.